This 433-nucleotide ribosomal RNA is filed under the name uncultured bacterium. RNAcentral describes it as "partial 16S ribosomal RNA". It matches the Rfam family "Bacterial small subunit ribosomal RNA", at positions 29 to 507 of the family's 1533-position model. The record is from RNAcentral.
AACGAACGCUGGCGGCAUGCCUAACACAUGCAAGUCGAACGAGACCUUCGGGUCUAGUGGCGCACGGGUGCGUAACGCGUGGGAACCUGCCUUUAGGUUCGGAAUAACUCAGAGAAAUUUGAGCUAAUACCGGAUGAUGUCUUCGGACCAAAGAUUUAUCGGCUUUAGAUGGGCCCGCGUUGGAUUAGCUAGUUGGUGGGGUAAAGGCCUACCAAGGCGACGAUCCAUAGCUGGUCUGAGAGGAUGAUCAGCCACACUGGGACUGAGACACGGCCCAGACUCCUACGGGAGGCAGCAGUGGGGAAUAUUGGACAAUGGGCGAAAGCCUGAUCCAGCAAUGCCGCGUGAGUGAUGAAGGCCUUAGGGUUGUAAAGCUCUUUUACCCGAGAUGAUAAUGACAGUAUCGGGAGAAUAAGCUCCGGCUAACUCCGUG